ACCUCGAUAUUGAUCCUUUGACAU
Molecule: non-coding RNA, 24 nt
Filed under: Arabidopsis thaliana (thale cress)
Lineage: Eukaryota; Viridiplantae; Streptophyta; Magnoliopsida; Brassicales; Brassicaceae
Source: RNAcentral